UGCUAUACAUGCAAGUCGAGCGAACUGAUUAGAAGCUUGCUUCUAUGACGUUAGCGGCGGACGGGUGAGUAACACGUGGGCAACCUGCCUGUAAGACUGGGAUAACUCCGGGAAACCGGAGCUAAUACCGGAUAACAUUUUCUCUUGCAUAAGAGAAAAUUGAAAGAUGGUUUCGGCUAUCACUUACAGAUGGGCCCGCGGUGCAUUAGCUAGUUGGUGAGGUAACGGCUCACCAAGGCAACGAUGCAUAGCCGACCUGAGAGGGUGAUCGGCCACACUGGGACUGAGACACGGCCCAGACUCCUACGGGAGGCAGCAGUAGGGAAUCUUCCGCAAUGGACGAAAGUCUGACGGAGCAACGCCGCGUGAGUGAUGAAGGCUUUCGGGUCGUAAAACUCUGUUGUUAGGGAAGAACAAGUACAAGAGUAACUGCUUGUACCUUGACGGUACCUAACCAGAAAGCCACGGCUAACUACGUGCCAGCAGCGGCCGGUAAUAAA
RNAcentral lists this ribosomal RNA (500 nucleotides) under Priestia flexa. RNAcentral's name for it is "bacterial SSU rRNA". It matches the Rfam family "Bacterial small subunit ribosomal RNA", at positions 45 to 527 of the family's 1533-position model. The record is from RNAcentral. Lineage: Bacteria; Bacillati; Bacillota; Bacilli; Caryophanales; Bacillaceae.